Molecule: ribosomal RNA, 253 nt
Filed under: uncultured bacterium
Lineage: Bacteria
Description: partial 16S ribosomal RNA
Rfam family: Bacterial small subunit ribosomal RNA
Source: RNAcentral
GACAGAGGGAGCUAGCGUUGUUCGGAAUGACUGGGCGUAAAGGGUGCGUAGGCGGUUACUUAAGUAAGAUGUAAAAGCCCCAGGCUUAACCUGGGAAUCGCGUUUUAAACUGGGUGACUGGAGUGUGAGAGAGGAAAGUGGAAUUCCUAGUGUAGAGGUGAAAUUCGUAGAUAUUAGGAGGAACACCGGAGGCGAAGGCGGCUUUCUGGAUCAUUACUGACGCUGAGGCACGAAAGCGUGGGGAGCAAACAGG